AUCUUUUUAGUAUAAAUAGUAUAUUUAACUUCCAAUUAAAAGGCUUAAUUAAAUUAAAAAAGAUA
This 65-nucleotide transfer RNA is filed under the name Physoderes impexa. Its description in RNAcentral is "tRNA-Gly". Lineage: Eukaryota; Metazoa; Arthropoda; Insecta; Hemiptera; Reduviidae. The record is from RNAcentral.